AGGGGAUUAGCUCAGUUGGUAGAGCACCGGUCUCCAAAACCGGGUGUCGUGAGUUCGAGCCUCGCAUCCCCUG
Molecule: transfer RNA, 73 nt
Filed under: Porphyromonas bennonis
Lineage: Bacteria; Pseudomonadati; Bacteroidota; Bacteroidia; Bacteroidales; Porphyromonadaceae
Also listed under: 6 other names
Rfam family: tRNA
About the family: Transfer RNA (tRNA) molecules are approximately 80 nucleotides in length. Their secondary structure includes four short double-helical elements and three loops (D, anti-codon, and T loops). Further hydrogen bonds mediate the characteristic L-shaped molecular structure. tRNAs have two regions of fundamental functional importance: the anti-codon, which is responsible for specific mRNA codon recognition, and the 3' end, to which the tRNAs corresponding amino acid is attached (by aminoacyl-tRNA synthetases). tRNAs cope with the degeneracy of the genetic code in two manners: having more than one tRNA (with a specific anti-codon) for a particular amino acid; and 'wobble' base-pairing, i.e. permitting non-standard base-pairing at the 3rd anti-codon position.
Source: RNAcentral